RNAcentral lists this long non-coding RNA (443 nucleotides) under Chinchilla lanigera (long-tailed chinchilla). RNAcentral's name for it is "lncRNA (ENSCLAG00000028370.1)". The record is from RNAcentral. Lineage: Eukaryota; Metazoa; Chordata; Mammalia; Rodentia; Chinchillidae.
AUGGAAGUCUGGCCCCAGGACGCUAUGACAGCAAGGUGCACUGGGCUGGGCCUGCAUGCCAAGCCUUACCCACCCACUCCAGGAAGUGCCAGCCGAGCUCGCCCUCCUGCCGCCCGCUCUGGCCACGCCGUGACCAGAAGCCUUGGACCAGCAGCUGCAGGCAGCUCCCAGGGGAAAAAUCCAGCUCAUCUCUCCGGUCCUGUUUUCCCUUACGAGCUUUUUUUCUUCCCCGAGAUGCCCCCAGGCAUGGCACUGCUCCUGCCAUCUGCGGCAGCUCAGAGACGGCCCCUGCGGGCAGGAGGGCCGGGCACGGCUCCCGGAAGCCUCGGCGGCCAGCCAGCCACCUGCAGGACAAGCGAGCCACGGGCAAUCACCACCCCAGAGGCUAGCGGGAACUAAUCAGCCACAUGCAACCCAUAGCCAUCCGGCCAGACAGAGCUGGC